GAUGAACGCUGGCGGCGUGCUUAACACAUGCAAGUCGAACGGAAAGGCCCAGGCUUGCUUGGGUACUCGAGUGGCGAACGGGUGAGUAACACGUGGGUGAUCUGCCCUGCACUUCGGGAUAAGCCUGGGAAACUGGGUCUAAUACCGGAUAGGACGAUGGUUUGGAUGCCAUUGUGGAAAGUUUUUUCGGUGUGGGAUGAGCUCGCGGCCUAUCAGCUUGUUGGUGGGGUAAUGGCCUACCAAGGCGUCGACGGGUAGCCGGCCUGAGAGGGUGUACGGCCACAUUGGGACUGAGAUACGGCCCAGACUCCUACGGGAGGCAGCAGUGGGGAAUAUUGCACAAUGGGCGCAAGCCUGAUGCAGCGACGCCGCGUGGGGGAUGACGGCCUUCGGGUUGUAAACUCCUUUCGCUAGGGACGAAGCGUUUUUGUGACGGUACCUGGAGAAGAAGCACCGGCUAACUACGUG
This 468-nucleotide ribosomal RNA is filed under the name uncultured bacterium. RNAcentral's name for it is "partial 16S ribosomal RNA". It matches the Rfam family "Bacterial small subunit ribosomal RNA", at positions 28 to 507 of the family's 1533-position model. The record is from RNAcentral.